GGGGCGGGCCCUCUUUCUUGUUGGCCGAGUAGCUGGAAUAAGCUACAGCUGCGUUUAAGGGCGCCCAGAUCUGCCCAGGAGGCACAACUGAGUUUUGCUGCAGCUGCUUCUCUUGAGCCCGGCGCUCCACUAGGAGCCUGGAAGGGCAACUUGGCGCUGAGAAGAAUCUGAAAAGUAUCUCAUAUGGGUUCGGCUCUGACUUGAGAAGAAUUAAAACACCAUUGAUAAUGAAAGUUGAAGACUGCAAUAAUUCUGCAGAAGAGACUAAAAUGGAGAAAAUACCUAUGAAAACACUAGCCCAAUGCUUUUCUACUGUGAUAUGCUGACAAUGAGAACAAAAUGCUUCAAACUACAGCAUGCUAAAUAUCAGGAACUUGUAGUUGUUGAAAAUUAUCAGAGAAGCUUCUGACUCAUAAGCUUACCAUCAAGCUAUAUAAAGCCAAUAGAACUAUGAUACCUGUAGGAUGCAAUAGAAGGUGACUUCCUUUCACUAGAUCAUUUAAUGGGCACUGUUUCAGAGUAAUGUGAAUCUGUUUCUGGAAAGGGACAAGAGACUCCCAAACACUACUUAAAAGAGAACAUGCCCCCCCUAAAUAAGUUUGGCUUGUAUUUUGUCUUUACCCAUAGCAAUUUUCUUCUGUCUACUGUAAGAAUUAUUUUUGCUAUCAUUUUGUUAAGAGAUGAUAAAAAAACAGAGUUGCUUGUUCUAUGUCA
Long non-coding RNA from Suricata suricatta (meerkat), 714 nucleotides. RefSeq lists it as uncharacterized. The record is from RefSeq and is a predicted model, not a curated record. The transcript is spliced from 2 exons. NCBI's taxonomy places the organism in Eukaryota, Metazoa, Chordata, Mammalia, Carnivora, Herpestidae.